CCCCUAGUAACUGCGAGUGAAGCGGGAAAAGCUCAAAUUUAAAAUCUGGUAGUCCUUGUGGCUGCCCGAGUUGUAAUCUAGAGAAGUGUUAUCCGCGCUGGACCGUGUACAAGUCUCCUGGAACGGAGCGUCAUAGAGGGUGAGAAUCCCGUCUUUGACACGGACUACCAGGGCUUUGUGAUGCGCUCUCAAAGAGUCGAGUUGUUUGGGAAUGCAGCUCUAAAUGGGUGGUAAAUUCCAUCUAAAGCUAAAUAUUGGCGAGAGACCGAUAGCGAACAAGUACCGUGAGGGAAAGAUGAAAAGAACUUUGGAAAGAGAGUUAAACAGUACGUGAAAUUGUUGAAAGGGAAACGCUUGAAGUCAGUCGCGUUGGCCGGGGAUCAACCUUGCUUUUUUGCUUGGCGUACUUUCCGGUUGACGGGUCAGCAUCAAUUUUGACCGAUGGAUAAAGGUUAGGGGAAUGUGGCAUCUUCGGAUGUGUUAUAGCCCUUGGUCGCAUGCAUCGGUUGGGAUUGAGGAACUCAGCACGCCGCAAGGCCGGGUUUUUAACCACGUACGUGCUUAGGAUGCUGGCAUAAUGGCUUUAAUCGACCCGUCUUGAAACACGGACCAAGGAGUCUAACAUGCCUGCGAGUGUUUGGGUGGAAAACCCGGACGCGUAAUGAAAGUGAAAGUUGAGAUCCCUGUCGCGGGGAGCAUCGACGCCCGGAUCAGACCUUUUGUGACGAUCCCGCGGUAGAGCAUGUAUGUUGGGACCCGAAAGAUGGUGAACUAUGCCUGAAUAGGGUGAAGCCAGAGGAAACUCUGGUGGAGGCUCGUAGCGAUUCUGACGUGCAAAUCGAUCGUCGAAUUUGGGUAAUAGGGC
This 865-nucleotide ribosomal RNA is filed under the name Clitocybe ditopa. RNAcentral's name for it is "LSU rRNA". It matches the Rfam family "Eukaryotic large subunit ribosomal RNA", at positions 77 to 923 of the family's 3401-position model. Lineage: Eukaryota; Fungi; Basidiomycota; Agaricomycetes; Agaricales; Clitocybaceae. The record is from RNAcentral.